CUCUGAAUAGCUCAGUUGGAAGAGCGAGCGACUGUAAAUCGCUAGGUCACUGGUUCGAUCCCGGUUUCGGAGA
RNAcentral lists this transfer RNA (73 nucleotides) under Taphrina deformans PYCC 5710. RNAcentral's name for it is "tRNA-Tyr (GTA) (tRNA-Tyr-GTA-1-1)". It matches the Rfam family "tRNA". Rfam says of the family: Transfer RNA (tRNA) molecules are approximately 80 nucleotides in length. Lineage: Eukaryota; Fungi; Ascomycota; Taphrinomycetes; Taphrinales; Taphrinaceae. The record is from RNAcentral.